This is a long non-coding RNA of Hibiscus syriacus, 131 nucleotides long. RefSeq lists it as uncharacterized. The record is from RefSeq and is a predicted model, not a curated record. Lineage: Eukaryota; Viridiplantae; Streptophyta; Magnoliopsida; Malvales; Malvaceae. The transcript is spliced from 3 exons.
UCAACACUAUAAGAGUAUUGUUAUCCUUAGCAGUAAAUAAUGAUCGGAUACUUCAUCAACUUGAUGUCAAGAAUGCAUUUCUCAAUGGCAAUCUUGAAGAUGAGGUUUAUAUAAAGAUACCUCCUGGACUU